GAUGAACGCUGACAGAAUGCUUAACACAUGCAAGUCGAUGGGGAAGUGGUGCUUGCACCAUGGUAACCAUGGCGGACGGGUGAGUAACGCGUAAGGAACUUACCUGCGGGACCGGGAUAACAGCAGGAAACUGCUGACAAGACCGGAUAAGGUCAUUAAGCUGCAUAGCUUAGUGAUGAAAGGAGACGCCUGCGGAGAGCCUUGCGUCCUAUUAGCUAGUUGGAGGGGUAACGGCCCACCAAGGCGAAGAUAGGUAGCCGGCCUGAGAGGGUGGACGGCCACAAGGGGACUGAGAUACGGCCCUUACUCCUACGGGAGGCAGCAGUGGGGAAUAUUGGACAAUGGGGCAACCCUGAUCCAGCAAUUCUGUGUGCACGAAGACGGUUUUCGGAUUGUAAAGUGCUUUCAGCAGGGAAGAAGGAAGUGACGGUACCUGCAGAAGAAGCGACGGCUAAAUACGUG
This 462-nucleotide ribosomal RNA is filed under the name uncultured bacterium. Its description in RNAcentral is "partial 16S ribosomal RNA". It matches the Rfam family "Bacterial small subunit ribosomal RNA", at positions 28 to 507 of the family's 1533-position model. The record is from RNAcentral.